UCUCUCGCUCUCUCUCUCUCUCUCUCUCUCUCUCUCUCUCUCUCUCUCUCUCUCUCUCUCGCUAUUGUUUGAAAACAGGGCGGGUGCCUUCCUCCUUCUGAAACCGCCGCCCAUUCCCCUCUCUUCUCCUUCUCCGUCACCGCCUGCUUCUCCUUCUCCGGCCAAACAGCCGCCACCCAUCCCCCUCUCUUUUUCUUUCGACUGCACAACAGCGGUGAGGCCGCCUUUCUCCUUCUGCAACCCUCUAUCUCCGCCGCAACCGCCGUCUCCCUCUCUACCUUUAUCUCAUCUUGCCCAAUUUCUAGAAAUUAUUGAGGCGGUGGACGAUUUUUUCGGCAAAGGGGCGUUUGAUGAAGGGUAUUGUUGUUGUUGGUUGUGGGUACAGAUUAGGGGAGAAAUUGGACGAAGGAGGGAGUGGGGCUGGUGGAAGGGGCAGCGGUUUUGGGUUCACCUCGUCCCUCUGCCGCGUUCUUCCUCUGGAAUCGCCACCGCCCUCCUCUCCAACCCUAGAUCUCUGGUCCGACUGAAAUCCUCUAGCCCCAAUUUCCAACCCCAGAUCUCCACCACCGCAACCGCCAUCUCCACAGGCGCCGCCUAAAAACCCCUAGCCCCAAUUUUCAGAAAUCGUCACAAAAAUCGUCCUAUCUCCAAAUCUCCACCACCAUCUCCAAAUUAGCGGCGGUGGCCGGCGAUGAUUUUGCCAAGAAAUGGAGUGUCGAUUUUGGGUCAUUGUUUGUUUUUUUUUAUUAUUAUUAUUCAAUUCAUUGUGCUGCCUUUUUAAAUUUUGUUGUAAUACACUAUGAAUUGAAAUUUUCAAAUCUGAAUUGGAAUGCACUUGGAAUUUUUGGUUUGAUUGUGCAAUUUGCUUGCGUGAGUUCACGGUUAUGGUGAUAAUUGUGGUCGGCGGCGGCAGUGGUGGUGGUGGUGGUGGUCGGCGGUGGUUUGUAUUGGAACACUGUUACCAUCUUUUUGGAAAGAAACAGUAAUUUAAAAACACUCCAAACAGAAAAAUCGAGAAAAAAAAUAAUGAGAAUAAUUAAAUUAAUUAAAAAUUUUGAAAUUCUGAAUUUUAAAAAUUUAAAAAUCAAUUUGCAAUGUAAAAUAAAAGUAAAUAAAUUCAAUAAAUAAAAGUUAAUCAACUACACUAAUGAUGUGGGCGAC
This 1161-nucleotide long non-coding RNA is filed under the name Salvia miltiorrhiza (redroot sage). Its description in RNAcentral is "long non-coding RNA (SMIL_LNC006669)". Lineage: Eukaryota; Viridiplantae; Streptophyta; Magnoliopsida; Lamiales; Lamiaceae. The record is from RNAcentral.